CCUACGGGAGGCAGCAGUGGGGAAUAUUGCACAAUGGGCGAAAGCCUGAUGCAGCGACGCCGCGUGAGGGAUGACGGCCUUCGGGUUGUAAACCUCUUUCAGCAGGGAAGAAGCGAAAGUGGCGGUACCUGCAGAAGAAGCGCCGGCUAACUACGUGCCAGCAGCCGCGGUAAUACGUAGGGCGCAAGCGUUGUCCGGAAUUAUUGGGCGUAAAGAGCUCGUAGGCGGCCUGUCACGUCGGAUGUGAAAGCCCGGGGCUUAACCCCGGGUCUGCAUUCGAUACGGGCUAGCUAGAGUGUGGUAGGGGAGAUCGGAAUUCCUGGUGUAGCGGUGAAAUGCGCAGAUAUCAGGAGGAACACCGGUGGCGAAGGCGGAUCUCUGGGCCAUUACUGACGCUGAGGAGCGAAAGCGUGGGGAGCGAACAGGAUUAGAUACCCUGGUAGUCCACGCCGUAAACGUUGGGAACUAGGUGUUGGCGACAUUCCACGUCGUCGGUGCCGCAGCUAACGCAUUAAGUUCCCCGCCUGGGGAGUACGGCCGCAAGGCUAAAACCUUAAAUGAAUUGACGG
Molecule: ribosomal RNA, 569 nt
Filed under: uncultured bacterium
Lineage: Bacteria
Description: bacterial SSU rRNA
Rfam family: Bacterial small subunit ribosomal RNA
Source: RNAcentral